RNAcentral lists this ribosomal RNA (1485 nucleotides) under uncultured Bordetella sp. Its description in RNAcentral is "partial 16S-23S ribosomal RNA intergenic spacer". It matches the Rfam family "Bacterial small subunit ribosomal RNA". Lineage: Bacteria; Pseudomonadati; Pseudomonadota; Betaproteobacteria; Burkholderiales; Alcaligenaceae. The record is from RNAcentral.
GGUUUGAUCGCGUCAGAUUGAACGCUGGCGGGAUGCUUUACACAUGCAAGUCGAACGGCAGCACGGACUUCGGUCUGGUGGCAGUGGCGAACAGGUGAGUAAUGUAUCGGAACGUGCUAGUAGCGGGGGAUAACUACGCGUAGCUAAUACCGCACAUACGCCCUUCGGGGAAAGCGGGGGACCUUCGGGCCUCACUAUUGGAAGCGGCCGAUAUCGGAUUGGCUAGUUGGUGGGGUAACGGCUCACCAAGGCGACGAUCCGUAGCUGGUUUGAGAGGACGACCAACCACACUGGGACUGAGACACGGCCCAGACUCCUGCGGGGAGGCAGCAGUGGGGAAUUUUGGACAAUGGGGAAACCCUGAUCCAGCCAUCCCGCAUUGUGCGAUGAAGGCCUUCGGUUCAUAAAGCACUUUUGGCAGGAAAGAAACGGCACGGGAUAAUACCCCGUGCGGCUGACAGUACCUGCAGAAUAAGCACCGGCUAACUACGUGCCAGCAGCCGCGGUAUUACGGUAGUGCAAGCGUUAAUCGGAAUUACUGGGCGUAAAGCGUGCGCAGGCGGUUCGGAAAGAAAGAUGUGAAAUCCCAGAGCUUAACUUUGGAACUGCAUUUUUAACUACCGAGCUAGAGUGUGUCAGAGGAGGUGGAAUUCCGCUUGAUAUUAGCAGUGAAAUGCGUAGAUAUGCGGAGGAACACCGAUGGCGAAGGCAGCCUCCUGGGAUAACACUGACGCUCGUACUGCAAGCGUGGGAGCAAACAGGUUAGAUACCACCCCUGGUAGUCCACGCCUAAACGAUGUCAACUAGCUGUUGGGGCCUUCGGGCCUUGGUAGCGCAACUAACGCGUGAAGUUGACCGCCUGGGAGUACGGUCGCAAGAUUAAAACUCAAAAGGAAUUGACGGGGACCCGCACAAGCGGGAGUGGAUGAUGUGGAUUAAUUCGAUGCAACCGCGAAAAACCUUACCUACCCUUGACAUGUCUGGAAUCCCGAAGAGAUUUAGGAGUGCUCGCAAGAGAACCCGGAACACAGGUGCUGCAUGGCUGUCGUCAGCUCGUGUCGUGAGAUGUUAAGGUUAAGUCCCGCAACGAGCGCAACCCUUGUCAUUAGUUGCUACGAAGGGCACUCAUGCAAGGACUGCCGGUGAUAAACCGGAGGAAGGUGGGGAUGACGUCAAGUCCUCAUGGCCCUUAUGGUAGGGCUUCACACGUCAUACAAUGGUCGGGACAGGGUCGCGCCAACCCGCGAGGGUAAUCCAGAAACCCGAUCGUAGUCCGGAUCACCAGUCUGCAACUCGACUGCGUGAAGUCGGAAUCGCUAGUAAUCGCGGAUCAGCAUGUCUUGGUGAAUACGUUCCCGGGUCUUGUGCACACACCGCCCGUCACACCAUAGGAGUGGGUUUUACCAGAAGUAGUUAGCCUAACCGUAAGGAGGGCGAUUACCACGGUAGGAUUCAUGACUGGGAACGAAGUCCGUAACAAGGUAG